This 484-nucleotide ribosomal RNA is filed under the name Veillonella parvula. Its description in RNAcentral is "bacterial SSU rRNA". It matches the Rfam family "Bacterial small subunit ribosomal RNA", at positions 28 to 483 of the family's 1533-position model. Lineage: Bacteria; Bacillati; Bacillota; Negativicutes; Veillonellales; Veillonellaceae. The record is from RNAcentral.
GACGAACGCGGCGGCGUGCUUAACACAUGCAAGUCGAACGAAGAGCGAUGGAAGCUUGCUUCUAUCAAUCUUAGUGGCGAACGGGUGAGUAACGCGUAAUCAACCUGCCCUUCAGAGGGGGACAACAGUUGGAAACGACUGCUAAUACCGCAUACGAUCUAACCUCGGCAUCGAGGAUAGAUGAAAGGUGGCCUCUACAUGUAAGCUAUCACUGAAGGAGGGGAUUGCGCCUGAUUAGCUAGUUGGAGGGGUAACGGCCCACCAAGGCGAUGAUCAGUAGCCGGUCUGAGAGGAUGAACGGCCACAUUGGGACUGAGACACGGCCCAGACUCCUACGGGAGGCAGCAGUGGGGAAUCUUCCGCAAUGGACGAAAGUCUGACGGAGCAACGCCGCGUGAGUGGUGACGGCCUUCGGGUUGUAAAGCUCUGUUAAUCGGGACGAAAGGCCUUCUUGCGAAUAGUUAGAAGGAAUGACGGACCGGAA